Molecule: ribosomal RNA, 506 nt
Filed under: uncultured bacterium
Lineage: Bacteria
Description: partial 16S ribosomal RNA
Rfam family: Bacterial small subunit ribosomal RNA
Source: RNAcentral
AGUGAACGCUGGCGGUAGGCCUAACACAUGCAAGUCGAACGGCAGCACAGGAGAGCUUGCUCUCUAGGUGGCGAGUGGCGGACGGGUGAGGAAUACAUCGGAAUCUACUCUGUCGUGGGGGAUAACGUAGGGAAACUUACGCUAAUACCGCAUACGACCUACGGGUGAAAGCAGGGGAACUUCGGGCCUUGCGCGAUUGCAUGAGCCGAUGUCGGAUGAGCUAGUUGUGGGGGUAAAGGCCCACCAAGGCGACGAUCCGUAGCUGGUCUGAGAGGAUGAUCAGCCACACUGGAACUGAGACACGGUCCAGACUCCUACGGGAGGCAGCAGUGGGGAAUAUUGGACAAUGGGCGCAAGCCUGAUCCAGCCAUACCGCGUGGGUGAAGAAGGCCUUCGGGUUGUAAAGCCCUUUUGUUGGGAAAGAAAUCCAGCUGGCUAAUACCCGGUUGGGAUGACGGUACCCAAAGGAUAAGCACCGGCUAACUUCGCGCCAGCAGCCGCGGUAA